Molecule: ribosomal RNA, 621 nt
Filed under: uncultured bacterium
Lineage: Bacteria
Description: bacterial SSU rRNA
Rfam family: Bacterial small subunit ribosomal RNA
Source: RNAcentral
GGACGGGUGAGUAAUGCCUAGGAAUCUGCCUGGUAGUGGGGGAUAACGCUCGGAAACGGACGCUAAUACCGCAUACGUCCUACGGGAGAAAGCAGGGGACCUUCGGGCCUUGCGCUAUCAGAUGAGCCUAGGUCGGAUUAGCUAGUUGGUGAGGUAAUGGCUCACCAAGGCGACGAUCUGUAGCUGGUCUGAGAGGACGACCAGCCACACUGGGACUGAGACACGGCCCAGACUCCUACGGGAGGCAGCAGUGGGGAAUUUUGGACAAUGGACGAAAGUCUGAUCCAGCCAUGCCGCGUGCGGGAAAGAAGGCCUUCGGGUUGUAAACCGUUUUGUCAGGGAAGAAAAGCUCCGAACUAAUAUUUGGGGUGAUGACGGUACCUGAAGAAUAAGCACCGGCUAACUACGUGCCAGCAGCCGCGGUAAUACGUAGGGUGCAAGCGUUAAUCGGAAUUACUGGGCGUAAAGCGUGCGCAGGCGGUUCUAUAAGACAGAUGUGAAAUCCCCGGGCUCAACCUGGGAACUGCAUUUGUGACUGUAGAGCUCGAAGUUGCGGCAGAGGGGGGGAUGGAAUUCCGGUGUAGCAGUGGAAAUGCGUAGAGAUGUUGGAGGAAUACCCGA